Molecule: long non-coding RNA, 1832 nt
Filed under: Populus tremula
Lineage: Eukaryota; Viridiplantae; Streptophyta; Magnoliopsida; Malpighiales; Salicaceae
Description: long non-coding RNA (PTRE_LNC002513)
Source: RNAcentral
GACCGGUGAUGUACUGAUCAUUGCUCAUCGGAGGGGUAAGCACACUGAGACACAAUAUUUAACGUGGUUCGGCAAAUUGCCUACAUCCACGGGAGAGGUUCAUUUUAUUUAGAGAUAGAGAAAGAAUACAACACAUGGAGGAGGAUCACAUCCACUCAACUCCCAUCUCUCAUUGCUACAUGGCAGCAGCUGCUUAAGCAGCAGGGCUGCUGAUGGCAGCCCUUCUCUUUCUUUCUCUUUCUUCUCUCUACAUGUCUCACAACUCUCACACUUUGCUCUCUAAGAUCAUGCCUCUUUUAUAGGCAUCAAUGGCAGCUCCUCUUGCUCCUUUGUCAUCAAUGGUGGCUGCCAAACUCAUCUCUUCUUCAACAAAGGUGGCUGCCACUUCUUCCUUCUUCAACAAUGGUGGCUACCAAAGUCAAGGUUGGUGGUUGCCACCAACAAGCCUCCUUCUUUGACAAUGUCAACAUAAUUGGCAAUAUUCCAACAAUCACCCCCUUUGCCAUUUAUGUGGGCAAUUGUCAUCUUGCUUCUUCAGCACACGCUUCUGGAGCGUUCUGAAAUGAGGCUCCUUUCAUGGCUCACACCUUCUCUAAGGUGUCUCCGUUUGUCGUUAUGCGACGGUCUAAACUAGGGCUCCUAUCAUGGCCAUAGUUUGGCACAUAUAAUUGGGUAAACAUGUGCACCUUCUUCUUCUUCAUCUCCAUCGACCACCAUGAUGACCUUUAGAUGCCUCCUGAUCGGGCAAUCUCUCUUUAAUAAUUCACCACUGUCAUUUUCGGUCUCAAAUCUCAAAGAUCGGACCAUACCAUUGCAUCCGGAAUGAUCAAAUUAGCUGGAAACAUGUCUUGAAUCGUCCAAAUCGCACUUCAGACGGCUAAGAUUUGAUCAAAACAAUUCUGGCCUGAUAAACGACUCAGAUUCAAUCUCAGAUCCGGUUGCACGUAGGAUCCGCUACACUGGAUCCUAUCCCUCGGCUCGCGGCUCGGCUCGGCUCCAACUCAGCUCGGCUCCACUCGGCUCAGCUUGGCUCGGCUCGCGGCUGAUGACAUGGCAGGUGGGUCCUGCUAUGCUGACAUGUUAGUUGACUAGUCAAUUGACUUGCUGACUGUGUAUGUGAUGUCAUCCUUGCAUCAUGAUGACGUCAUCCUUUGCAUGGCACUGUUCAUGAUACGUCACUGUUCAUGUCUACUGUUCACAUGGGUCGGGUCAACUCAUCCGGGUGAAGAAGACGCGUGGGGCGCGUUGGCGCGCGUGGGUAGACGCCUUGCCGGAGAGUGAUGGAGAGUGCGGCCAUGUCCGACGUCCGAUUUUGACGCCGUUUUCACCAGUGGCUUCGUAUCGUCCUCCUCUACACGGUGGGAUGGUCAAAACACAAAUUUUGACAACUUUCAUUUUUGAGCAAAGAUCAAACACCACUUUAAACCAAAAAGCUCUGAUACCAUUUGAUUGGGCGGAAUCCGGGACCGGUGAUGUACUGAUCUUUGCUCAUAGGAGGGUUAAGCACACUGAGACACAAUAUUUAACGUGGUUCGGCAAAUUGCCUACAUCCACGGGAGAGGUUCAUUUUAUUUAGAGAUAGAGAAAGAAUACAACACAUGGAGGAGGAUCACAUUCACUCAACUCCCAUCUCUCAUUGCUACAUAGGGCAGCAGCUGCUGGUGGCAGCAGGGCUGCUGAUGGCAGCCCUUCUCUUUCUUUCUCUCUUCUUCUCUCUACAUGUCUCACAACUCUCACACUUUGCUCUCUAAGAUCAUGCCUCUUUUAUAGGCAUCAAUGGCAGCUCCUCUUGCUCCUUUGUCAUCAAUGGUGGCUGCCAAACUCAUCUCUUC